Molecule: ribosomal RNA, 497 nt
Filed under: uncultured bacterium
Lineage: Bacteria
Description: partial 16S ribosomal RNA
Rfam family: Bacterial small subunit ribosomal RNA
Source: RNAcentral
GAUGAACGCUGGCGGCGUGCCUAAUACAUGCAAGUCGAGCGAACAGAUGAGGAGCUUGCUCCUCUGACGUUAGCGGCGGACGGGUGAGUAACACGUGGAUAACCUACCUAUAAGACUGGGAUAACUUCGGGAAACCGGAGCUAAUACCGGAUAAUAUAUUGAACCGCAUGGUUCAAUAGUGAAAGACGGUUUUGCUGUCACUUAUAGAUGGAUCCGCGCCGCAUUAGCUAGUUGGUAAGGUAACGGCUUACCAAGGCGACGAUGCGUAGCCGACCUGAGAGGAUGAUCGGCCACACUGGAACUGAGACACGGUCCAGACUCCUACGGGAGGCGGCAGUAGGGAAUCUUCCGCAAUGGGCGAAAGCCUGACGGAGCAACGCCGCGUGAGUGAUGAAGGUCUUCGGAUCGUAAAACUCUGUUAUUAGGGAAGAACAAAUGUGUAAGUAACUAUGCACGUCUUGACGGUACCUAAUCAGAAAGCCACGGCUAACUACGUG